Molecule: ribosomal RNA, 274 nt
Filed under: uncultured bacterium
Lineage: Bacteria
Description: partial 16S ribosomal RNA
Rfam family: Bacterial small subunit ribosomal RNA
Source: RNAcentral
UACGUAGGGUGCAAGCGUUGUCCGGAAUUAUUGGGCGUAAAGAGCUCGUAGGCGGUCUGUCGCGUCUGCUGUGAAAACCUGGGGCUUAACCCCGGGCCUGCAGUGGGUACGGGCAGACUAGAGUGUGGUAGGGGAGACUGGAAUUCCUGGUGUAGCGGUGAAAUGCGCAGAUAUCAGGAGGAACACCGGUGGCGAAGGCGGGUCUCUGGGCCAUAACUGACGCUGAGGAGCGAAAGCGUGGGGAGCGAACAGGAUUAGACUACCGUAGUCAGUC